UCUUCUCAACCCUUCUGUCUUUUUUAUUAAAGACAGCCGGGCUUGGACUUGGAGGCUUUGCGGGCAUCUGAAUGUUUAAUUCAGAAGUCGGCUCCUCUGAAAUGCAUUAGCUUGAAUAGAACCAAGCAUGAUUCAGCGUGAUAAUUGUCUACGUUGCUUCAUCUCGGUGAAUUUAAUGUUCAAGCUUCUAACCGUCCCUCGGGACAAUCUCUGAAC
Molecule: unclassified non-coding RNA, 216 nt
Filed under: Steccherinum ochraceum
Lineage: Eukaryota; Fungi; Basidiomycota; Agaricomycetes; Polyporales; Steccherinaceae
Description: partial internal transcribed spacer 2
Source: RNAcentral